RNAcentral lists this ribosomal RNA (491 nucleotides) under uncultured bacterium. RNAcentral describes it as "partial 16S ribosomal RNA". It matches the Rfam family "Bacterial small subunit ribosomal RNA", at positions 29 to 506 of the family's 1533-position model. The record is from RNAcentral.
AGUGAACGCUGGCGGUAGGCCUAACACAUGCAAGUCGAACGGCAGCACAGUAAGAGCUUGCUCUUACGGGUGGCGAGUGGCGGACGGGUGAGGAAUACAUCGGAAUCUACUUUUUCGUGGGGGAUAACGUAGGGAAACUUACGCUAAUACCGCAUACGACCUACGGGUGAAAGCAGGGGAUCUUCGGACCUUGCGCGAUUGAAUGAGCCGAUGUCGGAUUAGCUAGUUGGCGGGGUAAAGGCCCACCAAGGCGACGAUCCGUAGCUGGUCUGAGAGGAUGUUAGCCAACACGGAAACGAGGAAACGGCCAGGCCCCCUAGGGGGGGAAGAAGGGGGGAUUUUGGGCAAAGGGGCGAAAGCCUGACCAAGCAAUACGGGGUGGGGGAGGAAGGCCUUGGGGUUGUAAAGCCUUUUUGUUGGGAAAAAAAAGCAGCGGGUUAAUACCCCGCUGUUCGAACGGUACCAAAAGAAUAAGCACGGGUUAACUUCUG